CAGCUUUAUCGGCCAAUGGUAGCCAUGUGCUACCUCUAACAAAGAAACUCCUGAGCCAAUGGCAGCCUGGGGGCGAGGCUGAGGGUGGCCAAACGCAAGGUAACUUGUGUAGGCCGAGGAAGGUGGGGGCGCGAGGAUGGGACGUUCAGGUUUGGUGGACUGGCGCCGAGGCCAGCAGGCCUGACAGCUGCUGAGGCCGAGCCAGGGCUUUCAGGGGUGGGGAAGGAGGGCGGAGCCGACCUGGGGCGGGCGCUCAGCAAGCCCCUCACUUCCACUGCGGCCUUUCUUCCCGCGCUCCGCCUGUGCACCGUGGCAAAACGGAUAACUUUAGAACCUACUAUGUGCCAGGCCGGGUCGUCAUGGCUGUAGAUAGCACUAUUGUUAAUAAGGGCUGAGUACUGUUCCAAGGGCUGCGAACGCUUUAGCACAUUGACGUUUACAACCUCUCCAUGAUUAUCCAUAUUUUACUUAUGAGGAAACAGACGUAGAGAAACUAAGCAAUAGGAAGUGGUGUUUCCAGGGAUGACUAAGAAGUCAACAGCCUCAAAGAGCUGUUAGUUAUGAGAAAUUAGUAAACGCUGACUCUACCAGGUCCUCAAGUAGGCAUUCCUUCCUUCAUUACGUGCUUGAGGAAAUGAAGGCUCAGACACCCAGAGUCCUUUAUACAGGGUCCCUCUGCUAGGAAGGAGCCAGACUGUCACUGUAAGUUUCCACGGUCCAGUCUCCUCGCCAGAAGUCAACCCGGAGGCUAUGUCGGAGCCACUGGGUGAAGAGUGCAGGAUUCCAGAGAGCAGGGAAACACACCCUUUAGGAGAAUUCAAGUAGUUUACAGGAGCAGAAAGAUGAACGUAAGCAGAUCUGGAGGAUUUCAGUGUGGCUGGAGGUGGAGGUAGUGCAGGAAAGGGCAAAAAGGAAGGGAGUAAAGGCACCUGAUGAGGGAUGGGUCAUCCAGAGCCUUGGGUUUCAGGAGCAGACCUGUGAAUGUCAGCCUGCUGACAGUUGGGAGUCAUCGUGUAUUUGUAAAUGAGAGAUCGAACUCGGGUCCUUGCACUUUCGCAGCAGGCGGAGAAACCACUGAGCUAAAUCCCCGGCCCUUAAAAGAGAACCCUGUGAUGAAGGUGCUCCAGGACCCUGCUUCAAUACCAUCAGCUCAUGACAGGUCUUGCCUCAGGCGUACCCCCAGCCACCAUAUUUCCUGUAUUUCAUCAAAGCCAAUCUCAAGUCACAAAACUUCAUCCAUAAAUAUUUCAGUGCAUGUUUAUAUUAGAUCAAACUCUUUUCAAAAAGUAGCCACAAUACCAUUAUCAUGCCUAAAAAAAUAAUUCUUUAAUAUCAUCAAAUAUCCAGUAAGUAAUUACCAGUUAUCUCAUAAAAACUUAAAUUAUUUUUGUCUAGGAAAAACAAAAGUUGAAAAAGAAAAAAAUGGCGAUCCAGAGGGUAGAUUGGUACAACUAUCUGGGGCUUUGCUUUGCCCCAGCAAUUCCAAUCCAUGAAUUUACCCUCAGAAAAAAAAAAAAAGAAAAAUUAAAGAGAAACAUAAACAUUGCUCACCAGAGUAUGCAGUGCUUGUUACAGAGAAGUUGCUUGAAAAAUAUUUGUUGAAAUCGAGUUCCAGUACUGUUGUUUGCAGCUUUGUUUGUAAAAAUAAAAACAGAAAGUAAUGGAAGCAUCUGACCUUAGGGUACUGGCUCACUGAAUGAUAGCAGAACCCUGUAAUGGCAUACAGUAUUGUGCUGACAUUUAAAAUAAGAUUCUAAUUUAAAAUCAGAUUCUAAUAGG
Molecule: long non-coding RNA, 1779 nt
Organism: Heterocephalus glaber (naked mole-rat)
Lineage: Eukaryota; Metazoa; Chordata; Mammalia; Rodentia; Bathyergidae
Source: RefSeq, a predicted model, not a curated record